ACUUCCCUCCUCUCUCAGGCGUCUUCUUGGAGGGCUCGGAGCUCGUGUUCCCGGACCUAGUCCAGCUCAUCUGUGCCUACUGCCACAGCCGGGACAUCCUUCUCCUCCCGCUGCAGCUCCCCAGAGCCAUCCACCGCGCAGCCACCCACAAAGAGCUGGAGGCCAUCUCCCAUCUGGGCAUUGGUAAGGGCUCCCUGCCACCCAUUGCACAGAUGAACAAGCUGAGGCUGAGGGCAAGGGAAGGCUCGCGCACACCUCCCGAAGCCCAUGCCUUGCCUUGGUUGGGAGACUUCCCCUAACCAAUCCUGGAGGCCCCAGUCAGUUUCUUGUUCCCUAGAGUUCUGGAGCUCCUCCCUCAACAUCAAGGCUCAGCGGGGCCCGGCUGGAGGCCCAGUGUUGCCCCAGCUGAAGGCCCGGUCCCCUCAAGAGCUGGACCAGGGCACCGGAGCCGCCUUGUGCUUCUUCAACCCCCUGUUCCCGGGGGACCUAGGGCCCACCAAGCGGGAGAAAUUCAAGAGAAGCUUCAAAGUGCGCGUGUCCACAGAGACCUCCAGCCCCCUGUCUCCACCUGCCGUGCCGCCUCCCCCCGU
This 590-nucleotide small RNA is filed under the name Pongo abelii (Sumatran orangutan). RNAcentral's name for it is "retained intron". The record is from RNAcentral. Lineage: Eukaryota; Metazoa; Chordata; Mammalia; Primates; Hominidae.